RNAcentral lists this long non-coding RNA (19809 nucleotides) under Vitis vinifera (wine grape). RNAcentral describes it as "long non-coding RNA (VVIN_LNC003952)". Lineage: Eukaryota; Viridiplantae; Streptophyta; Magnoliopsida; Vitales; Vitaceae. The record is from RNAcentral.
AGGAUUCUUAGGUUUGGGUUUUGGUGCUUCUUCCUCUUCCCCAACAGGAGCCUCUUUGGGCUUUGCUGGCUCCUUGACUUCUUUCUUUGGUUCAUCCUUGUGCUUUGGUUUGGCAUGUUCUUUUGGCAGGGCAGGCUUCUUUGCAGACGAAACAGGUGGGACUGAUGCAGUUUGCUUUACCUCACCCAAGAUCUUGCUGAAAUUUGGUUGAUUAACCAUGGUCCAGAAGUAUCUCUCAAGAUGAGGGAACUCCGAGGUCUCUUAGUCAUGAGCUGACUGAAUCCCGUAUACAAAUUGCAUGUCAUGACAAUGUCAGCCAGGGUGACAGAAUGCCCCACCAGGAAAGUGUUUGAAGCAAGAUGUGUGUUCAAAGCACCUAAUGCUCUCUUCAACGCAGCAAUUGCAGCCUCCUCAAACUAUACACAGAAAACUAUGAUCAGGAAGGAUUAAACAAUCAAGGAGCUAAACUGGAAAGCAAAAUGGUAGAAUGCAUUUUUGAUUUAAGAACAUUAAAAUUUUUGUGAAGAAUAAUAGAUUAAAGAACAAUAUUACAACUACAAAUGAACCGUAAAAAUGUCUUUACUUAGGAGUAUAGUUUAUCAUUAUGUCAUAGUAAAUGACACAUGAAAAAUGAAUCAUUCCAUUAAUUUGUGAUCACAUGGGAAGGCACAUGUCCAUCCUCUCAAGAGAAGUCCCUGUGCCAUCACCAGCAUUGUGGGAACAAAAAAAGAAGAAAUCCAUGUUUGGUUUCUGCAUAUAAAAAGGAAAUAGACAGGGAACACAAGAAACAUUGAAAUAAAUAUCUGUCUCCUGAGCAAAGAGACAUUGAAGGAAACAAAAGAAGCUACAAACAAUGCAAUUAUGAAAGGUAUUUUCUUUGGCACCCCCUUUCUUUGGGGCUCAUUUAAUAGAGUUGCUCUGUUUGCAAUUAAAAGAAAAUCAAAAGGUAAUUCUUCACCUUCCUGUUAACAUUGCACAUACUAUCACUUCAUGGCAAUUAUUGAAUGCUGCUAAAGCUGUGUUUCACAAUAAUAUGCUUUGAGAUCACCCUAACUUGGAGAAAAACAAAAUCAUUUGCAUGGAGGUGUAAAGAGAAAAACAUGACAAUUUUUUUUUUAAAAUAUAAGUUUUCCAUUAUCCAGGAACCUUCAAGAAUAGAAACUCUGGGUCAAAUGAUUCUGUGGAAACUAUUUCUUUAUUUGAAUUGAGCUUUCAGGUUUCAGAAAAUAAAAACAAAAAGCAACAUAACUUUCAAAGUUCUCUUUUCCUUCUUCUUACAGAAAUCAAACCGAGUGACUUGGUAAAAUUACCAAAAUUUCAAAAUUUUCAACAUAUGUGACCCAAAAUAAAGAAGACCCUCCAGUACCAGUUGGCUUAUUUGAAUUAUUCAAAACCCAAAGAAAGGUCCAAAAUUUUCUUCUCUUUCUCCUCUUCUCUCAGCAAUUAUGAAUCUUUAAGACUUCCCAAUGUACGCCACUACCAUGCCCCGUAGCCGAGAUUAAAUGUUCAAUUAUUUAACCAACAAACCGACACCAGGAAAAAUAAAAAAUAAAACAAAAACAAAACAAAGGAACGUUUUAUUUUCUCUAAUUUUCCUCAAUUUUCUCAGCAACCAAACCGAUGGCACAAGCAAUCGCAGUGUGUAAAAAAUCCGAUCCGCAAACCAACUUAUCAAUCCAAAGAGCUUUCACAAAGAAGGAAAAAAAAAAAAGAUACGCGGUAUAGAAUUACAACCCUAACAAAAAAUGAAAAGCAUAAUUUGAGGUUAGAGCACAAAUAAUAAUAAUAAUAAUAAUUUCAGAAAAUUAUUCCCAACAAAAAAAAAAAAAAACAACAACAACUCUAAUUCCAAAAUUGGAUCUGAAUUAGGUCCAAAAGCAUACAACGGUAACAAACAUCAUGAAAUUUGUCCGAAAAAAAUGGUUUCAGAAACAGAAAGGACAAUCAAAAUGACCUGUACAUAACUGUUGAAAUUUGGAUUCGGAAGAGAGAGAUAGAUCUGAGAGACGAACCUGAAAAGAAUUGCAGAGAAAUCGAAGAGACCAACAACAGGAUUUGCAGAGAUCUCCGGCUCGAAGCUUCCAUCAUCCCUCUCUACUUUCUCUCUCUAAAGCCCUCUCUCUCUUUCUCAGUGUUUUAAAAACCGGACCGGAGCGGCCGGUCCAACCGACGACCGGUCGCAAUUCCGCUCCGGUUUACCCUAUUAGACCGUUUUAACAUUGAACCUGACGCCUAAACCAACUGUCGGACCGGUAAACCGAUAACACCAGAGAGUUCCAAACGAACCGAACGGAACAAGUUGGCCCAUCAUUUUGCAUGCGACCCCAUUAUGUAAAAACUGUAAGCAAAUACCCAUACUGGUCCAUGACUUAAUAUGACAGAACCCACACCCAGACCUUUUAAGUGGGCUGAGCCUUGAGCCCACAAUAUGGGCUUACUGUUGCUUUCAACGAGGAUACCUUCUAUAGGCAUCCUUUGCACCCUUAUUUCUCUCACAAUCCGAUGUGGGAUUCCAAACUAAUAUGAUAUAAUCAAUGAAAAAAAUUAACAAAUGGAGGAAUACGCUUUUUGUAGUAUUCCUCCCAUUUUUUGCUUUAUUUCCUGGUAGGUACUAAAUUAUAUGAAAAAUGUGAUUAAAAUAUUAAAUUAUAAUAAUUAUAAAAUAAUGAAAAAUAUAACUAAAAUACAAAAAAUAUUAUUGAAAUUUAAAAGAUUUAAUUAUUGUACAAAAUAGACUUUAUGCAUUUUUUGAUAUCCUAAAAUUAUUUUUAAAAAUAUAAAUAAAUUUUUUAAACUUUUUUUCUAUUUUUUUAAUGUAAUUUUAUUUUUUUGUUUUGAUCUUAAAAAAAAACAUAUUUGAGAACCAAAAACCGUUUUUUGUUUUUAAGAAUAUAAAAUAGUGUGUUUUUAAAGAACAUCUUUUGGUUGUUUUCUAUUAUUUUUACUUAUUUUUGGUUAUUUUAAAAACUAAUUAUAUAAACAUGUAAAAUAAUUAAAAAUAAAGUAUUGGAUACAAGAAUGAUUUUUGAAACUUAUUUAAAAAUAUUAAAAAGAGGUUAAAAACAUUUCGAAUUUUUAAACAGACUUUUAUUUUAUAAAAUAUCAUAGAGCAAUUUUCAAAUAUUCUCAUAAAUUAUUUUUCAUAACUAUUUUCAAAAAGAGUUACCGGAGUUUUUAAAUAACUUAAUUUAAGGUUUUUCAAAAUUUAAUUUUUUUAAAGACUAUAGCCUUGUUUGGUAAUUGUUUUUUAGAAUGGUUUUUCAUUCUUCACAAAAAAAAAAAAAAAAAAAAAAAAAGCAAAACAUGUUUAAUAGCUAUAACAUUAUUUUUAUAAAAUAUCUUUUAAUUAUUUAUAAUUUUUUUUAGGAUUGUUUAAAAAAAUAAUUAUACAAACAUGUAUGGUGAUUAAAAAUAAGACAUUAAAUAUAAAAAUUGCUUUUAUAAUUGUAGACCCCAAAUGGGCUCAUUUGCAUGCAGUUCAUUUUGCCAGGUGCUAGGAUUGGAGUUAGCCACGUGUCGACUCCUAAGAGGCCAUGAGAGAAUCAUAAUAGUGGUUUGUUGAGAGCUAUCGGAGGAUGACACCUUGUGGACCCCGCAUUUUCGGCUUAUGCGUUUCCCACUCGAAUGGCGAGCUCGAUUUUUAUUUGAAAAUAAUUUUUAUUUAUUAAAAAGAAAUGACUUGGAGUCGCCACUUAUUUUUGUUUUAUUUUUAAAGGGUAAACAAAAUAAGAAAGAAAAACCCUAAGUGUGACUCCUUAUUUUGGAAAAGGCGGUCUGUGAAAAACAGGAUCGGGUUCGGGGGUCAGGUUACUUAUCGGGAAGGUACGGUAAAGACCAUAGCACCCCUCUAAGUCCCUAAAGUCGGGUCUCUACUAAUAAAAUGAAGCUGACGUGACAAUUGAUGUGUAAAUCAGAGAAUACCUAAAAUGAUUAUGCAUGUAUGAAAAUCAGAACACUCAAUGAAGAAUGAUUAAAGUGAGAGCAGGGCGUACCUUAGCAUCAAACGAUCAAUGUGCUAUCACAAAAAGUUGGGUCAGUGUACAAUAAAGAGCAUAAACAUAGCUCACAUAUCACUAAAUCGAGCACAAAAGUCAUCACAUGUCACAAUUCAUUCAAAUUGAUUUUUAUUUUAAAGAAAAUUCUUUGAUGUAGGGCCCCCACCAAAGCCCGCUGAUUUUUGCAUGAAUUAAUUCCAUAAAUUCCAUUAUUCGGAAUUAUGGAAUUUAAAUUCAUGUUUAUUUUAAAACGUUUUAAAAUCAUGAAAAAUUCGAAAGUAGCUCGUCGAAAAGAAAAUGGCGGCCAAAUUUUAUUGAAAAACGGAUUUUUGGAACCUAAAACUCUAAAGAUGAGGGAUUUGAUGAUUUGAAGUCGUUUUUUUUUUUAAAAAAAAAAUAAAAUAAAAUAAUAAUAAUAAUAAUGACAUAAGCUAGAAAAUCAUUUGAAAACGGAGUUAGGAAAUUAUUUUUGAAAACAAAGGGAAAGAGUUUUGGGGGGUGGCACGUGGCUCAGAAAGGUGGCCAUGCAAGCUAAAGUCAUGAAAGUGGGUCCGGAAUAUAAGUGCUAAGGAUGGGAAUAGAUUUAUGCACUCCCCCUGCUUUAGAUCCAAGUAGACAAUACACGGCUGUCGAGGAAAUUCAAACUCCACAACCUUGACCGAACGAUACUUGUAGGCCCGCUCCACGAAGCAAUGGUAGAUGAGGGCAGUGUCCUCUGCAGCCAGGCCUCGCUGCCGAUGAGGGGCAUCGGCCUUGAAAAAUGGAGCUUCCAGCACAGCCUUGGAUGUAAGGUCUUGAUCAAAGUCAUUGCAGGUUAGAACCUUCUUAAGCUUUCUGCAUGUCACAUAGGAGAACUGGAUGAAGCAGCCUAGGCGCGUACCAAGGAUUUCAUGUCGCUCCUCCAAUUUUGGGUACUGAGCCCAGGCCCACUUCGACACAAAAUCAUACACUGCAUCCUCUGAUGCAACCUGGAGAUCAUCACUGGACAAAACUGCUUCGAUCUUGACAAGGGGUAAGGCCAUCGCCUCUUCCUGAAACUUGGUUGUGUCUUUGUAACGACUAGCAAGGUAUUGCUUGGUUGCAUCUGUCAAAGGCUCAACUGUCUCAACCAUUAGGGCACUAAAAGGAAGCUCUAGACAGAGCAAUGCAGAUUCAGGUAUCAUGGAUAAGUUCCUUAAGAGCCUGCUGCAGCUGCGAUUCAGGGACUCUCCACCGUUGAUUUCAUCAUCAUGUUUCGCUUCAGAAUUCUGGACGCCAUGGAUGGGAUAGAGAGAUUUGCGAUCUCAUCUCACCCAGUAUUCGGUGACUGCAAUGGUGCUGCAACUAGAUAACCCAAAAGUACUGAUAGAUUUCUGCAUCAUAUUCAGCAACUUCCAAGUGAUUGCAAGUGCCAUCCAUACUCGGUGACUUUUCCAACCUCCAUGAAUUCACCAUGCUCCUCCAAUUGGCUUGAUCUUGUCAUUGCUGCAGGUCUCCUAAAGCUACAACUGUUAUUCUCAUCGCUACCCGAGACAGAAUCUGAUGGGGUUGAAGUCCAUGAAGGAGAUGAAUGAUUCAUGAUGGAGUACACGAGACUUAAAUGUUCCCUCUUCUCUGUCACUCAAACCAGUUUUUUUUUUUUUUUUUUUAUGACAACAUCAGAAUUUUCGGUUUAUGCUGAAGGUGGGGAUAAUGGUUGUAGUGGUGAAAUAGUAUGCAUGAAGGCUAAAGGGCAUAGAAGAAUGAAUUAAUCCGUGAGAUUUAAAGAAAAAGCAGCAUGCUGGGAGGUUUGAGAAGGCUAAUAUGAAAGUGGUUAUGAGAAAAUGGGCAAAUGGAUAGCCAUGCGAGAGUAGGGUAAUGGUGGUUUCAUCAACACUCAUGCCAGCAUGGAAAGGCUCUUUCCUUAUUUUCAGCAGUACCGUGACCAGUGGGAGCCUGUUGUUGUCUGUGCUUUGCCACCAUAUUCUCCCUAAUUAUUACUUAAUGACAAUAUGAACCCGAUUUCAUACUUCCUUGCCUCACUCAAAACAAAAUCCCGGGCUUUGAGCACCUCUUCAUCAUAAAUAGAAAGAGACUUUCGAAAAGCUCUCCACUGGCCACCAUUGAAAACCCAAGUCCAGCACACAACCAAGUCCACAGAGGCUGCUUGUUGAAACACUUCAUUAACUUUCUCCUUUGUGGAUUGAUUCACGACAAAUACCAUCAACCAGUAAGUGUUGAACCCGUUCACAUAAAAAGGCUUAUCAUUAACCACAGAUUGGUUCCCUCUCUUCUGCACCAUUGUCCAUGGCUCACCUCCAAGAUCACUCAUCUCAUAAACCAAGUCUAACUCAAAUGAAAAUGGAAGUCGGCCCGUGCUGUGCCCGUUACAGCUUCAUAUUUAAGAGAGUCCAAACACGAAGAGCAGAGAGAAAAGUAGCAAAAAUAGAGCAAUGGUGGAAAAAAUAAGAUGAAGCAUUAAGAACUAUGCUUCGUUUCUUCAUUAGUGGGUUUGCAGAUGGGUGAAUUAAAAGGUCUUUUUCUUUCUUUAAAAUGCCACAAAGAAGGUAAAAAUGGAGUUAAAUCAAUUUUCAGCCAUAAACAGAAGCAAAAGGGGAGCAGUCAACCAUGAAGAACAGAGUAUAACCCAUCCAAAGAUCAACAUCAAUGCAUCUCAACAACAAUAUAUGAAGAGAAAAAGAAAGAACAAGAACACAGUGGAAAACUUACCCCUGAAAAAGAACCUGGAGGCCCUUUUCUUCUGGUUCUUGGUAACCUCCUCUACCCAAAACCGUCUCCUCUGAUUUCUCUGUUUUUCUUCCUAGUGUUUUCCUCUCCGCUCUCUCUGUCAAACUCCCCUCUGUAACCAGCCUGGAGACCCUAGUUCUCUCCCCAGCUUGCUCCUCAAGAAUGUCUCUCUAAGCUCUCCAAAAACUUACCUCUCUCCAACUCCUCUCCCUGUAACUAGCCUAGAGACCCCCCCCGUUCUCUUCCAAGCUCUCUCCCCUGUCUCUCUAACCCAAAAUAUCUCCAACGGCCGAGCACUCAAGACACCUCACACAGCUGCCUCUCUCCACUACCCUGCAGCUUAACGGUUUUCAGCUUUUCUGCUUAAUAUAUCUCCAUGUGUCAAGCUUCCAUUGGCCAUCAAAACCACUAACUUGAUUCUUUACUAGUCAAUCCGGAAGAGACACGUGGCUCCUUGAGAGCCUUCCACUGCAAAGAAAAACUUACAGCAAAUGUGACAAAACAUGAGCCCCUAAAUGGGGGUUUACACACCUGUAAAGGAGGGAGAUUCUAGAGAAGCGUUUUCGGUUAGCAGAGAGGGUACUUUUCAGGUGGGUUUUGGGAGAUAUUUUUAUAGAGUAUUCUUUGGCUUGAGGGGCAAGCCAGAGGUGGGAGAGGAGGAGCGUAUGAGAGGAUAGAAAGGGAGAUAUUUUUGGAGAGGUAAUCUUGCUGGUGGAGGAGGGAGUAUUCAUUGUUGUGAGGCAAGUAGGAGAAGUUAGAGAGAGAAUGCUAGAGGAGAAAAUGUGAAACAUAGAGGAAGUUUUCGAGAGCUUGAGAGGAUUUUGGAGAACAAGUUUUGCUAGAGAGGGAGAAGAGCGUAUUCAAUUUUCUCGGGGAGUGGGAUAUUCUGUUUUUUUUUUUGCUUGAGAUAUUUGGUUCCCUCGAGGAGCAAACUUGCCUAGAGGAAAAGACUGAGGAAAAAGAUAAUUGAGGAGAGGCAGAGGAAGGUUGCAUUGUUGACUUCCCGGUAAGGUCACCUUUAAGCUCGGUAUGUUUUAUUUCUCUCAACGUAUUGCUUCAUUUUUUGCUGAACAAUGAGCAUGGUUUCAUUGUUUUCUGUGGACAUCAAGGGCCACAGGGUUAUUUUGGUUGGACAUUCGUAUUUGCCUAAAAUACUCUGUUUUUGUUGCCUUUCAUACUUUUGAUCUUUUCCCCUGUAAUGGCGGGAUUCUCCUUUUGGGUUUGGGUUUGAUGUUUAAUAGUUGUAUUGAAGACUUCCCAUUUGUCCCACCGGUUUUGAGCUCAUUUAUCAUUCAUGAAACUUGGCUUUGCCUGAAUAUUCCUUGGAUCUUAUCAUUUUUUUUUUCACUCUGUUUUUAAGCUAUUUUAUCCUUCACACCUAUCUGCUCUCAUGAAACUAGUUGUGGAAAGUUUUGAUCCGCAUUUUACUACCUAAGACUAGUAGCACCGGUGGCUUUAUGAGAAUGAUGUUCCCUGAGAAAUGGUUCCAUGCUGAAGCUUUACUCAAUGCCAUUAUGAUCCCAGUCUCAUCAUUGCUCAGGCCGAUCCUGAUUGUAUUCUAUUCAUCAAGUUUGAUGUUGUUGGGGUUUGCUUAGAUAAGUUAGUUGGAGAGGUGUGAACACACAAGUCAAUUGCCAAAGAUAGAUUGACCAAGAAUCAUGCACAGACUGAAGCACAUAAGGCAGUAAUCACUCCGCAUCAGAAUUCUAUUAUUGGUUAAGUUGAAGUAGAUGUUGGCUGAGACAUGGACAUUCUUUCUACAUUUGGUGCUCGCGUUGGUACAGAAGGAGCACAGGCUGAGGAUGCAACUGAGAUGGUUAUCUAGAGUGAAUGGGUAUUACAUGCCAAGCUGGAAAGGAUCUGAUGGUCGCUACAAGGAGAAAAUAAAUUGUGUGGGAUUGAUUUAAUAAGAGUAGGAAAUAGUUGCCCAAAAAUCAUGAAGGAAGACAACGUAUGGUGGCUGCAUUUGUUAUGCAAUUACACACCCAAGGUCAGGUCUGGACAGAUUUGAUUUGGUGAUUACCCUUCGUCAUGAUUAUUAUCCCAUGACCCCUCAUGCAUAAAAACAAAUCCCUUGGUCUCUCUGGAAGGUGGAUGGCCCUUCAUGAACCUCCUGAUGAACAUGUGAUUCUGACUGUCAGGGUUUUUCAUCAAGUUGGUUUUACUACGCAUAGGAGUGUUGUUUCUGCCUGGCAUGACAAAUCGGUAUCUCUGCCCGGACUCUUAUUUGUGGUUUACAUUGGAGGACCUAUAAGUGUUGUUUAGAUGGGUAAUUUGGAUCUGUCUAUGUUAAGCCAUGUACAGUUGUAACUAAACAACAUUAGUUAGAAACCUGUAACUAACCUCUAACUAGUUGAUCAGUUCUAGUAUUGUUAGAUAAUCAAUUAUAAGGCAUAACUAACUUCAAACACAUGUAUAUAUGUUGAGUCACGGCUCACAAAAACUAGAGAUGAAUCUUAGAAAAUAAAGAAUUCAUAAGAUUUAAGAAUACUCUGUUCUACCCUGUUUUUCAGUUUUCAUUUCUUUCAGCUUUUCACUUCUCACAUGGUAACAGAGCAGACAACAAUGGCAGAUCACUCAACCAAUGUGACUCCAUUACAAGAUUCUGGAGAGGUUCCAAUUGCUGGAACUGGUCUGAUUACGGGACAAACUACAUCUCAGAUGACGAAUCAAUCAUUUCCAUCACUCGAUCAAUCCUUAUGGAGUUCUUUACAAUUGUUUACCUGAUUAUACAUCUCUUCGAAGUUUUGGAUGCUUGUGUUUUCCUUAUCUUCGCCCUUAUGCUUCUCACAAGCUAGCAAAUAGAUCUGUUGUUUGUUGUUUUUUGGGUUAUAGUGCUAAACACAAGGGAUUCCUCUGUUUGGAUGUGGCUUCCUCUCGGAUAUAUGCUUCCCGACAUGUUAUAUUUGAUGAAACUCAAUUUCCAUUUUUAACAAAAUCUUUAUCCUCUCAACCAGUAUCAUCAUCCAACUCCUCUUCAACACUUCUUGAUUAUGGUAUUCUCUAUAUUUCCCCACCAUCUACAAGGAAUCCUCAUUAUCCUCCACCUUAUUUUUCUUCUCUCAUUACUGCCCCUACCGAUUCUGUUCCAUCUCUUCCACCUUCCUCUCCUACUUUACCACAAUUCUCUAUUCCAGCCUCCACUCUUGAUCCUCCUUCACUUCCAAACCGAACCAUUGUUACUCGUAGCCAAAAUGGUAUUUUUAAACCCAAAAAAAUAUUCAGCCUUGUUAUCCAAACUACCGUAGCUGAACCCUCCUCUUUCAAAGAAGCAAUGUUGCAUCCUGACUGGCAAGCUGCUAUGAAAACUGAGUAUGAUGCUCUUAUUACCAAUUCCACAUGGACAUUGGUUCCCAAACCUGUUAACAAACCAUUAUUGGUUGUAAAUGGAUAUACAAGCUGAAACUCAAUGCUGAUGGCUCAGUUGAUCGUUUUAAAGCCCGCUUAGUUGCAAAGGGUUUUAAUCAAACCAACUACUAUACGAAUUGUUCUUUCUCUUGCUAUAUCUCAUGGUUGGUUAGUGAAACAAUUAGAUGUUAAUAAUGCCUUUCUCAAUGGUGAGUUAGAAGAAGAGGUUUACAUGGUUCAACCUCCAGGCUUUGUUGAUCAUUCUAAACCCGGUUUUGUCUGUAAACUUCACAAAGCCUUGUAUGGUCUAAAGCAAGCUCCUCAGGCAUGGUUCACCAAAUUGAAGAACUCUUUACUUGCUUGGGUUUCUCUUGUUCUUUAUCUGAUUCCUCUAUGUUUCUUUUUUGGAAAGGGACUGUUGUCAUCUAUAUUGAUGACAUUAUUGUUACUAGUUAGUCCACCAAGUGGUUUCUUCUUUACACUCUUAGUUUGCUCUCAAGGGCCUUGGUAUUCUGAAUUACUUCUUGGGUGUUGAAGUAUGUUGGCAAGGAUCUUCUCUUCAUCUCUCCUAAACCAAAUAUAUUCAGGACUUGUUAACUCAUGUUGGACUUGCAGAUUGUAAAGCUAUUGCUACACCAAUGACUACCUCUCACACUUUAUCUGCCUCUGAAGGUUCCCUCUUGGCUGACCCUUCUCAAUAUUGCAGCAUUGUUGGAGCCCUGCAAUAUUGUACCAUUAGAAGGCCUGACAUCUCUUUCUCCGUCAAUAAACUUUGCCAAUUCAUGCAAUCACCAGCUAAUCUUCAUUGGUAAGUUGUUAAGCGAUUGUUGUGCUAUCUUAAGGGCACUACUUCCUUUGGUCUUUCCUUUCAUUCUUCUUCUAAUCUUCAACUUACUGCUUAUGCUGAUGCUGAUUGGGCUGGUUGCCCUGAUGAUCAUCGAAGUACAAGUGGUCAUUGCAUCUUUUAUGGCUAUAAUCUAGUCUCUUGGAGCUCCAGUAAGCAGAAAGUUGUGUCUUGUUCCAGCACUGAAGCUGAAUAUAGGGCCUUAGCAAAUGCUGCUUCUAAACUUCAGUGGAUUCAACAUCUUCUUCAGGAGCUCUCUAUCUCAUCUUCCUCUUCUCCUAUUCUAUUCUAUGACAAUCUUUUAGCCACAUUUCUUGCUGCAAAUCUUAUUUUUCAUUCUCGAGUCAAACAUGUGGAACUAGAUUGUCAUUUUGUUCGGGAAAAAGGUGCUCAAUAAGACUUUGGUGGUUCAACACAUUCUUUUUUGUGACCAAAUUGUUGAUGCUCUUACCAAAGCCUUACCCGUUCAACAAUUUCUCAAUCUACGAAGCAAACUCACUGUUCUAGCUAGACCUUUGAGUUUGAGGGGGGAUGUUAAGCCAUGUACGGUUGUAACUAAACAACAUUAGUUAGAAACCUGUAACUAACCUCUAACUAGUUGAUCAGUUCUGGUAGUGUUAGAUAAUCAGUUAUAAGGCAUAACUAACUUCAAAUACAUGUAUAUAUGUUGAGUCACGGCUCACAAAAACUAGAGAUGGACCUCAGAAAAUAGAGAAUUCAAAAGAUUCAAGAAUACUCUGUUCUACCAUGUUUUUUAGUUUUCAUUCCUUUCAGCUUUUCACUUCACACAGUCUAGAUAUCAUUAGCAAUUUGAAAUUGGAUUAUGCAAAACCCAUCGUGGCUGAAAACAUUGUGGCAAAGGUUAUUUGUGAUGGUGCAAUUGAUGUCAUAUGGGAUCAUUUCAAUGGCUGGAUGGUAUCAAAAGAGACUGGAGAUGUCAACUUCCCAAUUGAGCUGCAAAUUGCUUUCAACUCACAUAUUGCUCUUUACAUGAACAUGCCCAAUGAAGCCGUUUGAGCCCUUUGGUACCCACCAAGUUCCUAUGACCAAUACCCAUUUACCCAUUUAUCUCACUACUGUUUCCAUCCUACACCUACAAACUCAUUUCAUCUCACCACUAUUAUCACCAUCAUCCAUUACACCCAUCUCAAUUCUCAUAUCUCCCAUUUUUUUAUCCCACCACCCAAUAUAUUCCUCUCUUCAUGCCCACUAUCCUUUCAUACCCAUGCAUUUUGCUACUUGAUCUCUAUAUCUUCCAUACCCAUAUCUCAUACCUCCCACGCAGAUACUCAUCAAGCCAUCCCACUAAACCCACUUCUCUCUCUCAGCCUAUUCAUACCCAUUUCUUACACCCUAUAGUUGCCACCCUCAUUCAUCCAUCUUAUCUACCCAUGAAAUCACUAUACUCAUAAAAUCUCAUUACCCUUCAUCUCUCAUUCCAUUUAGGCUAACCCAUUUUUUUUCAUUUCCCGAUACCCUCCCAUUAAUCUCCAACUUCAUAUUCCAUACCAUACCCACCAUAUGAUCAAUAUUCGGACCCAUUCUCUUUGUAAUCCCGUGUACGUAGUCAUCUUCUCUGGUCCCCAUACAAUCAUCCACCUAUACCCUACACUCUACCCUACCUGCAUGUCACUUUUUUCCUGUUACCCUAUCUUCAUGGCGUGCAUGAUAUCUUUCAACAAAGGCAGGAAUAUCGGCUUGAUAGGACAAGUUUCUCAAGCUAUUCAUCGUGGAGACGUACAUGCUCUUGAGGGCAUUCCAGAACUCUGACAAGCAAAGAAGUAACGUUUGGAAGACAACGUAUGUGGUCGACACGCACUAAAGAAGGGCCAGAAUAAUGAACAAGUUGUUUGAAACUGGGAUGAAGAUAGGUAUGGAAACAACAUAUUGAAAGAAAGAAAGAUCUACACAUCAACCGUUUUAUAGUUGUGUUCAUAACCUCACAGAACCCACUUAUGAGCGUCAUUGUUAUGACCUUCAUCAAUGAGACGCUUGCCUCUUACUCUGCCUCAUCUUGCACUUUUCGGCUACAGUCGGAUUUCAGUAAGGCUUGGGAAGUCUUUGUUUGGUCCAUCCUCGAUCUAAAGACUUGGAACAUCUAAGGAAUUAUACUCCGAGGCACCCUGUUGUGAUCCUUCCAAUCUGCCCUCAAAUACGGACACCCAUUGUCAAUGAUCCUGCCUUUUGGGAACGGUUGAGUCUGGAUGCUUUCGGCAUCGACACCUUGCUCUUUAUAUUUUACUAUCUACAAAAUACUUAUGGGCAAUAUUUUUGCUGCAAAAGAACUAAAUCAGCCAUCGUGGAAAUACCAUAGGAAAUGCAUGUUCUUGUUAAUGGGAAUGAUGAUAUCUUGAACUUUGAGACCACUAUUUAGCCGAAUGAAAGGGUCAACUGUGUUUUCUAACAACGCUGAUCUAACAGAAGACCAUAACUUGCUUCUCGAUGUUACUUUUGUUGGUGAUGGAUGGAAAGGAACUGGCAAGUGGAGAAUAUUUCCCAAGAACCAAUGGGCCAUAAUUAUGUUAAUAGACAUCACUCCAUGUCUUUGGUCCUUCACAUGUAAGUUGUUUUGGUGAGUAAAGUCACAUGGACUCAUUGGAGAAGACUGGUGCUGCAAUUAAUUCAUUCUCAUCGAAACGACCAAUUGGCAGUGUUGUAGCUAUCAUUGAGAGGCCUCCUUGUGUUGUUGUUGGUUUUCCUAGUGUUAAGGAGUGGCUUACUAGCCGUGUACUUCACAGAAAGAGCGCUAAAAUGAACAAAAAAACUUAUUUGUCACUGUCUGAUAGUGAGUACAUCGAAUUGACACCGACUGACCCUAAAUUUUCAAAUAUGGUGGUUCCUGUGAAAGGCUUGCCUAACUGCAUCAAGAAACGAAUGGAAGAUGGAGAUGCAUCAAUGGAAACGGAGCUUGUAGCUGCACAAAUCGGUGAUUGGGAGGAAGGAAAGUUCUCUUCCCCUAAUUCAUGUCGUGCAUAUUUUUGGGCGAUGAGGAAAUUGAAAGAAGAAGAGAUCUUAGGGAUUUGUGCUUAUUUACUAUUGAUCCUUCUAUUGCCAUUGAUUUUGAUGAUGCUCUAUUAGUUGAAAAACUAUCUGGUGGCAAUCUCAAAGUGGGGGUCCAUAUUGCUGAUGCAUACGAGAGGCAGCUUCAGAAUGAUCUAUUUGGGACGCAAGAUAUGAUGAGUGGUGAGUCCCAAGGUCCCAAGAUUAUGAACCCCGUACUGAAAUGAUGGAGCUUUGGAGUUCUUAACAGAGGCCUCAAGAUAAUUCUUUUCAAUGCCAAGAAUGGAAUGUGUUUACACUUGCUGAUGAUGUUACUAAAGAAGCUUUGGUGACAAUUGUCAUAGAAAAUUUCAGAAUGGUAAACAGAUUCUCUUAGGGCAUGAGCAUAGAAGAUAGAAAGAGACCCCUGUUUCUGCAAGCAUUCAUUUCCACCCUGGCACAUAUUCUUGCAUCUUUGCAUAACCACCUUGGACAUGCAGCUUUUGACCAUGUGUCAUCUCCUUUUAUUUUCUCAUUCUCUGAUUUUGAAAAUAAUCUUCCUAAAACCCAUUUUGUAAGUAAUUUCUACAAUUCUUGUUUUAAAAUAUUUUCAAAUCUCCAAAUUUUUCCAUCAUUAGCAUUUUUUUAGGUUCCAAAAAUCCUUUUUCCAAUAAAAUUUGCCGCCAUCUUCUUCCCGGCAAGCCUCAUUUUCACAUCUUCCAUGAUUCUUAAAGUGUUUUAAAAUAAGCGUGAAUUUAAUCCCUUAAUUCCAAAUAAUUGAGUUAUUAGAAUUGAUUCAUGCAAAAUAAAAUGAGAUUUGAUGGGAGCCUAACAUAUGUGAUUUUAUGAUUGAUUGCUAUAUUUGUUUGAAUUAUUCCACUUCAUGACAUGCAUACGAUUAUUCUGUGUUUGUUUACUGACAUUUGUUUUCCCUAAAGUAAACUAGUUCAUCACUCAGGUACGUUCUUUGUUUCUCAUAUUCAUUCGGGUAUUUUGUUGUGUUUUUCAUUCAAUAUCCAUUGAUUUACUCAUCAAUCGUCAUGCUUACUUCAUUUUAUUAGUAGAGACUCGUUUUUAGGGACUUAGAGGGAUGUUACAGUCUUUACCGUACCUUCCCGAUAAGUAACCCGACCCUCGAGCCUCGAUUCGGUUUUUCGCGGACCAUCUUUUCCAAAAUAAGGAGUUACAUUUAAGAUUUUCUUUCUUAUUUUAUUUACCCUUUAAAAAUAAAACAAAAAUAAGUGACGACUCCAAGUCAUUUUUCUAAAAAAUAAAAAUAAAUAAUUUUUCAAAUAAAAAUCGAGCUCGCCAUCGAGUGGAAGCGCAUGAGCCAAAAUACGGGGUUCACAAUAAUAUAUUUAAAAAUAUUAAAAAUAGUUUAAAAAUAGUUUAAAAAUAUUUUAGGUUUUAAACAUACUUUUGUUUUGCAAAACAUAAAAAAACAAUUUUUAAAAAACUAUAAUCAAUUUAAAAAAAAAAAAAUCAAAAGCAGUUAUUAAACAAUAUAUAAGUUUAAUAUUUCAAAAGUACUAAAAAAUGAUUUUUUUUUCCUUAUUUUAUUUUAAUAUAGAAAAAAUAAAAAAUAAUUAAUUUUUUUUAAAACUUAUAUUUAUUAUUAUUUUUAUCAUUUCCCUCUAUUUUCUUUUUCUCACAUUUUUCCCCCAUUUUCUUAAACCAAAUAUGUUUUUUUUUAACAAAAUUUUAGAUAAAAAAAAACUUCAUUAACAAAUUUCAUAUAUUCCAAAGGAUUACGGAUGGUGAGGUGGGGGGUUGUGUGUGGUGGAAGUGGAACCGCCCAAAAAGUUUCAGUCUCUUCCUUGACAAACUUUUAACUGUAGUGCACUAAACGGCAUCCACACCUUCUGAAUAUGCUCCAUUCAAUGUAGCAUAUUAUUUGCUUUUUUCAAAUUCAAACCGACGCUUUACGACUUUAAAAAAGAAAGAAAGAGAAUAAGGGAAUCAAGAUUGAAAUAUUUAUAAAUUAUAAAAUUUAUUAAAAAACAGAACAUGUAUAAUUUUAUUCUUAUGCCCUUGUUUCUGAAAAAGGGAAUGGAAGGGAAAAUAAAAUAUAAAAAAAAUCAAAAUUAGAAUUAAAAAUUUCAUUUAGAUGUUUGCAAAUUACAAUAUUUUCGAAAAAAGAAAUUCAACUCGAUUUCUAGUAAAGUAUUUUUAUUGAAAGUGUUUUCUUUAACGAUAUUUUUGUAAAAAAACAUUUUUAUGAGAAUUUAGAAAAGUAAUUCAAAAAAUAUUUUUGGUAAUAUAUUACAUAAGUAAAAAAAAUAUUUUUAAUAAUAAUAAAUUACUAAAAAUGACCAUUAUUAAAAAAAGAAAAUAUUAUAAUAAAACCAAAACUUUUAUCACACAAAUAUAUAUAAACAUUUAUAUUAUUAAAAAAAAACUCACAAAUCAUUUUUAUAAAAAGAAAGUGAAAGAGGAAAAAGAGAGUAAAAAAGAAAUGGAAGUGCUUCUCUAAAAAACACUUUUAGGGUUUUUUUAAAUUUUCAAAAGUGUUUUUUAAAAUAUUAUCGAAUACCUUUUAUUUUUUUUACCAUAAAAAGGUUUUUAAAUGCUUUUAGGACUAUAAUUAUCUAAUGGAUAGAGUCCAUAUGAAAGUAAUUUUAAAACACACUUUUAGCUUAAGAAAACAUUUUAAAAAAAAGUUCAAGAAUUGGGUAAAAUUUAAGAAGUGCUUUUAAAAGUUGAAAAAUCACUUACAAUACUUACCCGAGAAACACCUAAUAAUCGAUUUUUUUUUUUAAAAAAAUGCUUUUAGAGAGCAUUUCAAUGAAACAAAAUUGAAAAAUCACUUAUAGUGAUUCAAGGAAUUUAGGAGAGAAAGUUAGAAAUGAAAUGCUCAUUGAUCACAAACUAUUUUAAUGGAGCAACUAGAGCUAAGAGGAAAGCCCAUGGCAUUUUAAGAAGCCAAUACAAACAAGAUCUAAGCCUCUUCUAGGCUCCCUUGGACACAUCAUAAUGCAGAGAGACAUAUCCUUUCAGGCAUUUGGUAGUUCAUCUGAGAACGGAGAAAUUAAAUUCUAAAUGCUAAUGCAAGAAUAGAAAGAAGAAAAGCACAUCAGCACUCAAAGAUUGCCAGUCAAAGUGGGCUCUCAGAUUUCCUAUGGUACCCUGAAAGGAUUUAUACCCGUCUUCUAAGAACACGGGCAUGCACGCACGGACACAGAUUCUGUUGGUACAGACUGAAGAAGGAAUACCUAUAUCUCGACAGUAGUUCUUCUCUAGGCUUGUCAAUGAGAGCAUCAGAACAGCUGUAGUUUCCUUUUCUCACCCAAAAACAAGAAUCAUACAAUGAGAUGAAUCUAUUGGGCAGAUUGGUCUCCUUCCUGGGUUUUUGGUGAUUCAUCCGAGAAUCCAGAUGAAGAACCCAAAUGCAAAGAAAGUUCAACGCUAAAUGCCCAAAAAAGAAUUGGAAAUAGAAGACCAAUUACCCUUCUUGAAGAGGUUCAAGAACAGGGCAGGCAGCUAGGCGUGCCCAGAGUCUUUGGUGGUGAGACCUCUUAUAUAGUCAGAGGCAGAUCCCUUGAACUUCCUACCAUCCACAAUGUCAAUAUUCAAUACAACCAAAACAGCCAAGAGGGCAGACCCGAAAGAGGAAUAAUACAGUUGUUUUCAAGCCAUUUCAAGGUCUUCACUUUCACAAGACUAACAAUUCUCAACUCACCCCAUGCAUCAUGCAAUGAGAAAAACAUCUUGCUUAUAUAUGUCCAGCAAAUGAUCGAAUGACAAACACGAGGACUAUGUUGACUUGAUGUAUGCGUUAUCGAAUUGAUUUUGAAUAUGUUGAUUUCUAUGUUUUUUGGAGAGCUUGAUGUUUGGUUUUUUAUUUCUCAUUUCUCUGAGAAGAAUUUGAUUUCCUUUUAAUUGCAUUUUGUCAUAGGAUGUUAUUUUCUUUUUCUCGUCACGAGAAAAAGAAAAAUAACAUCNNNNNNNNNNNNNNNNNNNNNNNNNNNNNNNNNNNNNNNNNNNNNNNNNNNNNNNNNNNNNNNNNNNNNNNNNNNNNNNNNNNNNNNNNNNNNNNNNNNNAAAUAACAUCCUAUAACAAUAUACAUUUAAAAUNAAAUCAAAUUAUUCUCAUAUACAACAAAAAAAAGAAAUAAAAAAUCAAACAUUAAGCUCUCAAACAAACAUAGAAAUCAACAUAUUCAAAAUCAAUUCUAUAACGCAUACAUCAAGUCACAUAGACAUGUAUGAUUUUUUAUUUCUCAUCAAGUCAAAAUGAAUAUGUUGAUUUCUAUGUUUGUUUGAGAGUUUGAUGUUUGAUUUUUUAUUUCUCAUACACAACAAAAGAAAUGAGAAAUAAAAAAUCAAACAUCAAGCACACAAACAAGCAUAGAAAUCAAAAUAUCACUUCAAUAACAUUUUUUUUUUUUUUUUGAUAGGUAACAUAUCACUUAAAUAACAAAUAUAAACUAAGGAUUCAAUCUGUCUAGGAAAGGAAGAGAAAACCAAGCUCUACCAGGAAAAUAAAAAACAAAAACAUAUCCUUUCAGCUAGGGAUGGUUUUCUCACUUGAAGCACUUGGCAUCCAGAAGAGCCUCUCCCUCAAAAGGCUCCUGAUCUUCUAUCAUCUGAUUCACACGCUCCUUUUGGGCCUCAUCCGAGAUGUCAACCUUCUUCCACUCAUAGAGUUCCAUGUCAUAGCACUCAUCAAUUAUAAAUUGAGGUAUCUCUUGCCCGCGGAAAAGCCACAGCCCCUUCACCUUGAAUGGGGCCUCUGAGCCGAUUACAAGCAUCUUCCCAAAAGCAUACUUGCGUGCCAGAUCCAUCCGCUGAAGGAAUCCACCAACCUUGUUCAGAGUUACGAAUGAGACGGUAUUCUCGUCAUUGUAUUUGUAAUCACAGAACCAAAGAGAGUAUCCCUCGGGAUCGUACAUGUCCCAGAAUCCUGCAUAAUCAUGAACAUAUUCAUUGUGAACUUCAAAGUUUUAAACCUUGAAGAAUGAGAAGUAGAAAACAGAGCAACCAUAGCAACUUAUCAACUAGGCUUGUUGUCACAGCUUAGCUGCCCAGGCCCACAAAAUAAGUAUAAAUAAUAACAAUUGCUCAGUCAGAGUUCCAAUUAUUCCUAUGUGGGAAGGCCUAAUAUAGUGGACUGACUAUGUCAAGUCAAAUUCACCUGUAAUGGGCUUGCAUCAAUAAGGAUUAUCAUUUAUAGAAGCAUGAGAAAAGAGGCUUGCAUCCAUAACAGAUUUCUUUUGUCAUUUUUUUUUAUAAAAAAAAAGAAAAAGAAAGAGAGAUACCUUUAAUUGCAACCUCACGGAAAUUGGUCUUGGUAUUUGAGUAGAGUCUCUUCCAUUCAUCCAGAAUCAUCUUACUUGGGGGCAGCAGAUCAAGAGGAUUCUUAGGUUUGGGUUUUGGUGCUUCUUCCUCUUCCCCAACAGGAGCCUCUUUGGGCUUUGCUGGCUCCUUCUUGACUUCUUUCUUUGGUUCAUCCUUGUGCUUUGGUUUGGCAUGUUCUUUUGGCAGGGCAGGCUUCUUUGCAGACGAAACAGGUGGGACUGAUGCAGUUUGCUUUACCUCACCCAAGAUCUUGCUGAAAUUUGGUUGAUUAACCAUGGUCCAGAAGUAUCUCUCAACAUGAGGGAACUCCGAGGUAAAGCUCUUAGUCAUGAGCUUACUGAAUCCCAUAUACAAAUUGCAUGUCAUGACAAUGUCAGCCAGGGUGACAGAAUGCCCCACCAGGAAAGUGUUUGAAGCAAGAUGUGUGUUCAAAGCACCUAAUGCUCUCUUCAAUGCAGCAAUUGCAGCCUCCUCAAACUAUACACAGAAAACUAUGAUCAGGAAGGAUUAAACAAUCAAGGAGCUAAACUGGAAAGCAAAAUGGUAGAAUGCAUUCAUGAUGUAAGAACAUUAAAAUUUUUGUGAAGAAUAAUAGAUUAAAGAACCAUAUUACAACUACAAAUGAACCCUAAAAAUGUC